CUCAACUUGAGAGUUUGAUCCUGGCUCAGAACGAACGCUGGCGGCAGGCUUAACACAUGCAAGUCGAACGCCCCGCAAGGGAGUGGCAGACGGGUGAGUAACGCGUGGGAACAUACCCUUUCCUGCGGAAUAGCUCCGGGAAACUGGAAUUAAUACCGCAUACGCCCUACGGGGGAAAGAUUUAUCGGGGAAGGAUUGGCCCGCGUUGGAUUAGCUAGUUGGUGGGGUAAAGGCCUACCAAGGCGACGAUCCAUAGCUGGUCUGAGAGGAUGAUCAGCCACAUUGGGACUGAGACACGGCCCAAACUCCUACGGGAGGCAGCAGUGGGGAAUAUUGGACAAUGGGCGCAAGCCUGAUCCAGCCAUGCCGCGUGAGUGAUGAAGGCCUUAGGGUUGUAAAGCUCUUUCACCGAUGAAGAUAAUGACGGUAGUCGGAGAAGAAGCCCGGCUAACUUCGUGCCAGCAGCCGC
This 469-nucleotide ribosomal RNA is filed under the name Bradyrhizobium lupini HPC(L). RNAcentral describes it as "bacterial SSU rRNA". It matches the Rfam family "Bacterial small subunit ribosomal RNA", at positions 1 to 518 of the family's 1533-position model. Lineage: Bacteria; Pseudomonadati; Pseudomonadota; Alphaproteobacteria; Hyphomicrobiales; Nitrobacteraceae. The record is from RNAcentral.